This 31-nucleotide non-coding RNA is filed under the name Mus musculus (house mouse). Lineage: Eukaryota; Metazoa; Chordata; Mammalia; Rodentia; Muridae. The record is from RNAcentral.
UGGAAAAGCUUAUUCCAUAUACAGGUUGCAU